UUCGUAGGCGGUGUGGCAAGUCGGGAGUGAAAUCUCUGGGCUUAACCCAGAGGCUGCUUCCGAAACUGCCGUGCUAGAGUGCGGGAGAGGCGAGUGGAAUUGCAGGUGUAGCGGUGAAAUGCGUAGAUAUCUGCAGGAACACCCGUCGGCGAAGGCGGCUCGCUGGACCGCAACUGACGCUGAGGAACGAAAGCUAGGGGAGGCAAACAGGAUUAGAUACCCUGGUAGUCCUAGCCCUAAACCAUCAGGACUUGGGGUGCAUCCCGUUCAGGGUGCGUCCCGGAGCUAACGCGUUAAGUCCUGCGCCUGGGGAGUACGGUCGCAAGGCUGAA
Molecule: ribosomal RNA, 332 nt
Filed under: uncultured bacterium
Lineage: Bacteria
Description: bacterial SSU rRNA
Rfam family: Bacterial small subunit ribosomal RNA
Source: RNAcentral